GGGCGGUUAGCUCAGAUGGUUAGAGCAUCUCGUUUACACCGAGAGGGUCGGGGGUUCGAGUCCCUCACCGCCCA
RNAcentral lists this transfer RNA (74 nucleotides) under Rubrivirga litoralis. RNAcentral's name for it is "tRNA-Val". It matches the Rfam family "tRNA". From Rfam's summary of the family: Transfer RNA (tRNA) molecules are approximately 80 nucleotides in length. The record is from RNAcentral. RNAcentral also lists the same sequence under 1 other name. Lineage: Bacteria; Pseudomonadati; Rhodothermota; Rhodothermia; Rhodothermales; Rubricoccaceae.